This is a non-coding RNA of Alosa sapidissima (American shad), 567 nucleotides long. NCBI's taxonomy places the organism in Eukaryota, Metazoa, Chordata, Actinopteri, Clupeiformes, Clupeidae. The record is from the annotation of a RefSeq genome assembly.
CUGCAGAACUGUGAACUGCAGCUGAGUUCACAUCAACACCCACAGGAUGAAGGACACACUCUCACUGAUACUGCUACUCCACACCAUAGCAUUGGUGAAAAGUGAAAGCCUGGAGUCCAUUCCCUCCAGUGCAGUGCUGAAGAAACCUGGUGACACCCUCAGUCUCUCCUGUAAAGGAUCUGGGUUUAGUUUUGGGAAUUAUGACAUGCACUGGAUCAGACAGCCUGCUGGGAAAGCACUGGAGUGGAUGGGUUUUAUCUAUAGUGAUGCUAGUGGCACCAGCUAUGCCAGCAGUGCCCAAGGACGCAUUGAAAUCACCAGAACCAACCCCAACAGCAUGGUGUACCUGAAACUGUCUGGUUUGAGGGCAGAGGACUCUGCUGUGUAUUACUGUGCAAGAGAAACACAGUGAAACAAACACUGAGUGGAGAUGUACAAAAACAUUGUCACUAUCUUAUAAUGAGCAAUCAUACACAUAACCAUCAGGGGGCAGUGAUGGCCCAUAGUAACAUAACAGCUGUUCAUUCAGAAACAACAAGUGCCACUAAGGACCUAACGUCCUCAAAU